UACAGAGGUGGCAAGCGUUGUUCGGAUUUACUGGGCGUAAAGGGUGCGUAGGCGGUUGCGUGUGUCAAAUGUGAAAGCCCACUGCUCAACGGUGGAAGUGCAUUCGAAACUACGUGACUAGAGUACAGGAGAGGAGAGCGGAAUUCCUGGUGUAGCGGUGAAAUGCGUAGAGAUCAGGAAGAACACCGGUGGCGAAGGCGGCUCUCUAGACUGAUACUGACGCUGAGGCACGAAAGCUGGGGGAGCAAACAGG
This 253-nucleotide ribosomal RNA is filed under the name uncultured bacterium. RNAcentral describes it as "partial 16S ribosomal RNA". It matches the Rfam family "Bacterial small subunit ribosomal RNA", at positions 524 to 776 of the family's 1533-position model. The record is from RNAcentral.